RNAcentral lists this ribosomal RNA (1437 nucleotides) under uncultured bacterium. Its description in RNAcentral is "bacterial SSU rRNA". It matches the Rfam family "Bacterial small subunit ribosomal RNA". The record is from RNAcentral.
AAUGAACGCUGGCGGCAUGGAUUAGGCAUGCAAGUCGAACGAGAAACUCUUCGGAGUGGAAAGUGGCGAAAGGGUGAGUAACGCGUGAGUAACUUGCCUCCAAAUCGAGGAUAACAGCUGGAAACGACUGCUAAUACUGGAUGUGAUAAUAAGACCGCAUGUUCUUAUUAUUAAAGAUCCGUUGUUUGGAGAUAGGCUCGCGUCCCAUUAGUUUGUUGGUAAGGUAACGGCUUACCAAGACUUUGACGGGUAGGUGGUCUGAGAGGAUGGUCACCCACACUGGGACUGAGACACUGCCCAGACUCCUGCGGGAGGCUGCAGUCGAGAAUCUUCCGCAAUGCGCGAAAGCGUGACGGAGCAAUGCCGCGUGAAUGAUGAAGGCCUUCGGGUCGUAAAGUUCUGUCAGGGGUGAAGAACAUUGACAUUAACCCCAGAGGAAGCCACGGCUAACUACGUGCCAGCAGCCGCGGUAAUACGUAGGUGGCGAGCGUUAUUCGGAUUUACUGGGCGUAAAGGAUCCGUAGGGGGUCUAUUAAGUCUGAUGUGAAAUUUCGGGGCUCAACCCCGAAGCUGCAUUGGAAACUGAUGGACUCGAGUCCGUGAGAGGUAAGUGGAAUUCUUGGUGUAGCGGUGGAAUGCGUAGAUAUCAAGAGGAACAUCGAAGGCGAAAGCAGCUUACUGGCACGGUACUGACCCUGAUGGAUGAGAGCUAGGGUAGCGAAAAGGAUUAGAUACCCUUGUAGUCCUAGCUGUAAACGUUGUACACUCGAUGUUGGAAGGUUCAGCCCUUUUCAGUGUCUAAGCUAACGCGAUAAGUGUACCGCCUGGGGGAGUACGGCCGCAAGGCUAAAACUCAAAGGAGUUGACGGGGGCCCGCACAAGCGGUGGAGCAUGUGGGCUUAAUUCGAGGCAAACCGCGAAGAACCUUACCUGGGUUUGACAUUGAGUGACCGAUCUUUAACAGGAUCUUUCCUUCGGGACACGAAAACAGGUGCUGCAUGGCUGUCGUCAGCUCGUGCUGUGAGGUGUUCGGUUAAGUCCGGCAACGAGCGCAACCCAUAUCUUCAGUUACCAACACGUAAUGGUGGGGACUCUGGAGAGACUGCCCGUGUCAAGCGGGAGGAAGGCGUGGACGACGUCAAGUCAGUAUGGCCCUUACACCCAGGGCUGCACACGUGCUACAAUGGCCACUACAGAGGGCAGCUACACAGCGAUGUGAUGCGAAUCCCUAAAAGUGGCCCCAGUUCGGAUUGGAGUCUGCAACUCGACUCCAUGAAGUCGGAAUCGCUAGUAAAGGCGUAUCAGCUACGACGCCUUGAAUACGUUCCCGGGCCUUGUACACACCGCCCGUCACAUCAUGGGAGCUUAGUGCACCCGAAGUCGCCGUACCAACCCUUGUGGAGGAAGGCGCCGAAGGUGUGCUCAGUGACUGGGAUG